AAUCAACGCUGGCGGCGUGCCUAACACAUGCAAGUCGCACGAGAAAGGGACUUCGGUCCUGAGUACAGUGGCGCACGGGUGAGUAACACGUGAAUCAUCUACCUUCGAGUGGGAAUAACUGGGAGAAAUCCUGGCUAAUACCGCAUAAUACCUACGGGUCAAAGCAGCAAUGCGCUUGAAGAGGGACGCGGCAGAUUAGUUAGUUGGCGGGGUAAUGGCCCACCAAGACGAUGAUCUGUAUCCGGCCUGAGAGGGCGCACGGACACACUGGAACUGAAACACGGUCCAGACUCCUACGGGAGGCAGCAGUGGGGAAUUUUGCGCAAUGGGGGAAACCCUGACGCAGCAACGCCGCGUGGAGGAUGAAAUCCCUUGGGAUGUAAACUCCUUUCGAUAGGGAA
Molecule: ribosomal RNA, 401 nt
Filed under: uncultured bacterium
Lineage: Bacteria
Description: bacterial SSU rRNA
Rfam family: Bacterial small subunit ribosomal RNA
Source: RNAcentral